RNAcentral lists this ribosomal RNA (497 nucleotides) under uncultured bacterium. RNAcentral describes it as "partial 16S ribosomal RNA". It matches the Rfam family "Bacterial small subunit ribosomal RNA", at positions 28 to 507 of the family's 1533-position model. The record is from RNAcentral.
GAUGAACGCUGGCGGCGUGCCUAAUACAUGCAAGUCGAGCGAACAGACGAGGAGCUUGCUCCUCUGACGUUAGCGGCGGACGGGUGAGUAACACGUGGAUAACCUACCUAUAAGACUGGGAUAACUUCGGGAAACCGGAGCUAAUACCGGAUAACAUGUUGAACCGCAUGGUUCAACAGUGAAAGACGGUUUUGCUGUCACUUAUAGAUGGAUCCGCGUCGCAUUAGCUAGUUGGUAAGGUAACGGCUUACCAAGGCAACGAUGCGUAGCCGACCUGAGAGGGUGAUCGGCCACACUGGAACUGAGACACGAUCCAGACUCCUACGGGAGGCAGCAGUAGGGAAUCUUCCGCAAUGGGCGAAAGCCUGACGGAGCAACGCCGCGUGAGUGAAGAAGGUCUUCGGAUCGUAAAACUCUGUUAUUAGGGAAGAACAAAUGUGUAAGUAACUAUGCACGUCUUGACGGUACCUAAUCAGAAAGCCACGGCUAACUACGUG